AUGCAGGUUGGAGCAACUGGGAAACCAUUGACAAAUGUGGUCUCAAUUGGAGUUGGUGGUAGCUUCCUUGGACCUCUGUUUGUGCAUGCAGCUCUCCAGAUUGGUGUGGCUUCAGAUGGUGAUGGAUAUGGGGACACACAAGAACUAGCGAACUUAAUACCAGAUGCCCUCAACUAUGAAUUCUUUAAUUAUUGGAGGCUUUCAUAUUCAUAUCAAUACAAGGUGGGAUAUGAUGCAGGCUUUAGAAUCACUAAGGUUGCUCCUUCUCUGUUCCUUUGGUCAAGGUGUCGUGUUUGUGUUUUUGUUUUUGUGGUGCUGCUUAUAUGUGUGACUACCGUGUGA
This 342-nucleotide ribosomal RNA is filed under the name Triticum aestivum (bread wheat). RNAcentral describes it as "partial small subunit ribosomal RNA". The record is from RNAcentral. Lineage: Eukaryota; Viridiplantae; Streptophyta; Magnoliopsida; Poales; Poaceae.